RNAcentral lists this ribosomal RNA (398 nucleotides) under uncultured microorganism. RNAcentral's name for it is "bacterial SSU rRNA". It matches the Rfam family "Bacterial small subunit ribosomal RNA", at positions 9 to 410 of the family's 1533-position model. The record is from RNAcentral.
GAGUUUGAUCAUGGCUCAGGACGAACGCUGGCGGCGUGCCUAAUACAUGCAAGUCGAGCGAGGGUUUUUAAGACCCUAGCGGCGGACGGGUGAGUAACACGUAGGCAACCUGCCUCUCAGACCGGGAUAACAUAGGGAAACUUAUGCUAAUACCGGAUAGGUUUUGGAUUGCAUGAUCCGAAAAGAAAAGAUGGCUUUUCGCUAUCACUGGGAGAUGGGCCUGCGGCGCAUUAGCUAGUUGGUGGGGUAACGGCCUACCAAGGCGACGAUGCGUAGCCGACCUGAGAGGGUGACCGGCCACACUGGGACUGAGACACGGCCAGACUCCUACGGGAGGCAGCAGUAGGGAAUUUCCACAAUGGACGAAAGUCUGAUGGAGCAACGCCGCGUGAACGAUG